Helianthus annuus (common sunflower) is the source of this 487-nucleotide long non-coding RNA. RefSeq lists it as uncharacterized. Lineage: Eukaryota; Viridiplantae; Streptophyta; Magnoliopsida; Asterales; Asteraceae. The transcript has 4 exons. The record is from RefSeq and is a predicted model, not a curated record.
UCGAGCUUUCUACAGGAGCCAAAAGGGGUUCUCCUACUUGAACCCUAAUUCAUACAAAUCAACUGAAUCGAAAGGGCAAAUCAAACCCAAAUCGAAAACCAAGCUCAAAUUAGUGAUCACCUAAGUGAAGGGAUCACAAGCAAGGGGAUUGAAUCUUCAAGCGGACAAGCCGGAGCGGACGCGCGCUUGAAGGAAAAGCUGUGAAGGCGAUUGUAGCAAGCAUCCGGAUGAAGAUCAAACAAGGAAGUAAACCAAACACAUGUCAAAUGUUUUUCAUGUGGGUCAAGAUUAGGGAUGGUAAAAAUACUCGAGUUCGACGGGUAUACCCGAAACUUGACACAAAUAAUACGGGUAUACCUGACACCCGAUGAGUAUUAGGCCGGGUAUGAGAUUAGUUUUAAAAAUUUUUUUGCUUGUUGAAUAGAUUUGUUUCUUUAUUGGAUUGGUUUUGACCGGACGGUUUCAUUAUCAUAAAGAAAGGGAAGUG